GAAACUUUAGAGCCCGAAGAAGCUAUUAAAAUGAUCAUUCAAACAUAGUAAAAUCUCUUUAGUUUGGUGUGUUUUCAAUCAAACUCAUGAUGCUAAGAACAUCAAUACAGAUACAAACAUGGAUCAAACACAUGUACUAAACAGAGCAAUUCAAAAGAGUUUGACUUUUGAUGAUCCAGAGAUGGACAAAUUACUUAUUCGAAAAACCCAUUUUGAGAAUAAGAAGAAAUAUCCAAGAAACUGUAACAUAGAACCCAAUUAAGCAAUAAAGACUUGAGAGGAAAUAGUUACCAGAAUUAGCAUGUGGGCUAUGGUUGCUAUUAUCCACUUUAGC
Arabidopsis thaliana (thale cress) is the source of this 334-nucleotide long non-coding RNA. RefSeq annotates it as other RNA. The record is from RefSeq. Lineage: Eukaryota; Viridiplantae; Streptophyta; Magnoliopsida; Brassicales; Brassicaceae. The transcript has a single exon.